GCUGACGAGUGGCGGACGGGUGAGUAAUGUCUGGGAAACUGCCUGAUGGAGGGGGAUAACUACUGGAAACGGUAGCUAAUACCGCAUAACGUCGAAAGACCAAAGAGGGGGACCUUCGGGCCUCUUGCCAUCGGAUGUGCCCAGAUGGGAUUAGCUUGUUGGUGGGGUAAUGGCUCACCAAGGCGACGAUCCCUAGCUGGUCUGAGAGGAUGACCAGCCACACUGGAACUGAGACACGGUCCAGACUCCUACGGGAGGCAGCAGUGGGGAAUAUUGCACAAUGGGCGCAAGCCUGAUG
This 298-nucleotide ribosomal RNA is filed under the name Escherichia coli. RNAcentral's name for it is "partial 16S ribosomal RNA". It matches the Rfam family "Bacterial small subunit ribosomal RNA", at positions 87 to 388 of the family's 1533-position model. The record is from RNAcentral. Lineage: Bacteria; Pseudomonadati; Pseudomonadota; Gammaproteobacteria; Enterobacterales; Enterobacteriaceae.